UCGAGGUAGCCUCGUCCGUCUGGUGGUAGACGUGGUGCUUGCAUCAUGAUUUACAUUUGAGUGAGUGGCGAACUGGUGAGUAACACGUGGGAAACCUGCCCAGAAGCGGGGGAUAACACCUGGAAACAGAUGCUAAUACCGCAUAACAACUUGGACCGCAUGGUCCGAGUUUGAAAGAUGGCUUCGGCUAUCACUUUUGGAUGGUCCCGCGGCGUAUUAGCUAGAUGGUGGGGUAACGGCUCACCAUGGCAAUGAUACGUAGCCGACCUGAGAGGGUAAUCGGCCACAUUGGGACUGAGACACGGCCCAAACUCCUACGGGAGGCAGCAGUAGGGAAUCUUCCACAAUGGACGAAAGUCUGAUGGAGCAACGCCGCGUGAGUGAAGAAGGGUUUCGGCUCGUAAAACUCUGUUGUUAAAGAAGAACAUAUCUGAGAGUAACUGUUCAGGUAUUGACGGUAUUUAACCAGAAAGCCACGGCUAACUACGUGCCAGCAGCCGCGGUAAUACGUAGGUGGCAAGCGUUGUCCGGAUUUAUUGGGCGUAAAGCGAGCGCAGGCGGUUUUUUAAGUCUGAUGUGAAAGCCUUCGGCUCAACCGAAGAAGUGCAUCGGAAACUGGGAAACUUGAGUGCAGAAGAGGACAGUGGAACUCCAUGUGUAGCGGUGAAAUGCGUAGAUAUAUGGAAGAACACCAGUGGCGAAGGCGGCUGUCUGGUCUGUAACUGACGCUGAGGCUCGAAAGUAUGGGUAGCAAACAGGAUUAGAUACCCUGGUAGUCCAUACCGUAAACGAUGAAUGCUAAGUGUUGGAGGGUUUCCGCCCUUCAGUGCUGCAGCUAACGCAUUAAGCAUUCCGCCUGGGGAGUACGGCCGCAAGGCUGAAACUCAAAGGAAUUGACGGGGGCCCGCACAAGCGGUGGAGCAUGUGGUUUAAUUCGAAGCUACGCGAAGAACCUUACCAGGUCUUGACAUACUAUGCAAAUCUAAGAGAUUAGACGUUCCCUUCGGGGACAUGGAUACAGGUGGUGCAUGGUUGUCGUCAGCUCGUGUCGUGAGAUGUUGGGUUAAGUCCCGCAACGAGCGCAACCCUUAUUAUCAGUUGCCAGCAUUAAGUUGGGCACUCUGGUGAGACUGCCGGUGACAAACCGGAGGAAGGUGGGGAUGACGUCAAAUCAUCAUGCCCCUUAUGACCUGGGCUACACACGUGCUACAAUGGAUGGUACAACGAGUUGCGAACUCGCGAGAGUAAGCUAAUCUCUUAAAGCCAUUCUCAGUUCGGAUUGUAGGCUGCAACUCGCCUACAUGAAGUCGGAAUCGCUAGUAAUCGCGGAUCAGCAUGCCGCGGUGAAUACGUUCCCGGGCCUUGUACACACCGCCCGUCACACCAUGAGAGUUUGUACCACCCAAAGGCGGCGGGGUCCCAACUAGUAACAACG
RNAcentral lists this ribosomal RNA (1435 nucleotides) under Lactiplantibacillus plantarum. RNAcentral's name for it is "bacterial SSU rRNA". It matches the Rfam family "Bacterial small subunit ribosomal RNA". The record is from RNAcentral. Lineage: Bacteria; Bacillati; Bacillota; Bacilli; Lactobacillales; Lactobacillaceae.